AUUGAAAAAAAUUCUUUUUGUUAAUUAGAUUUCUCAAAUAUUAUUAUUUAUUCUACUAUAAUUACUCAUGUAAGUGACGUCAAAAUGUUAAGAGUAUUUUUUUAGUGGUUUAGUGAGUUGUAAUGCAUUUACAAAUUAUAAAAUAUAAUGUAAGCCAUGAAAUUAAAUUACUUAGCCCAAUAGAAAUUUAAUUUUUUUUCAAUUUAUUUGUUGUUUGAGUAAUACGCAAAACAGUUGUUAAUAAAAAGAUGGAUAAGUGGAGUAUCUAUGACAGUAUGAAUUUAUCAACUUCUCCAUGUCACUAUGUAGCAAUUAGAAACACUAUUUUGAGUAGAAUAUCUGGUGAAUGUGAUCAAAGUGUCUGUACAUUGCGUCUUGGAAUGCUUGUUGAAGCUAAAGAGAUCCAAUCAGAUGGUGGGCUCAGGAUUCGUGUUAACGAUACGAAUAAUGCUGAUAUCUGGAAUAAAACAGAGUGGAAAUGUCACAGAAUUGAUUUAAUACCUGUACCACAAAUAGUAUGGUAUUUCUUAGCAGCUGUGCAAGCUCCAAAUGAAAGGGUUCGAUUAGCUACGGACACUAAAUUUUGUGAGGACGUUAGUAAUUUAAAAAUAAACAAUCAAGUUUGGUUCAAUCCAGAAUCGAAUUCAGCAAAUAAACAUUUAGCUGUAAUUAAAUUCAUAGGGGUAGUUUCAGAACUAGGUCCAGGAUUUUAUUUUGGACUAGAUUUAUUGGAUAAACCAGACAGUAUCCGAACAUCACUCGUGGCGAAAAAACAUUUUGCAGAAUCAUCAAACAAUAGCACCUUUGCUACACUCCUUAAUAUUCAACCAAUAAAUCAUGAUGAUAUUAACCAUGCAUCUUUCAAUGCUAAUGCUGAACUAUCAUCAAAUGAAAUUGAAUCGUCCUGGUCGAAAGAAUUAGAUGGUUUUGUUAAUAGCACUACCAAUAACCACACAAUCAAUGAUAAAGGCAUACGACAUGAAUCAAAUGUUGUUACUUCAAAACAACUAAUCAAUUUUGAAGAUAAAAAUAAUAAUAAUCACAAUAACAACAAUAAUAGAGAACCAGAAAGUUUUGGUUUUAAUGAUGCAUUACUACCGAAGAUUAUUCAUCAAUCAGUAAAGUCAAGUAUAUUACAUAGUGAUGAUGGAAUCAAUUUGAAGAAAAGUUUAAAUAAGUGUAAUUUCAUUCCAAUAGAUAAUUUAUUAACAAAAUAUGAUAACAAUCAAAUGAUUCGAAAAGGCAAUGACAAACCUUUUGAUUUGGGAACCAAAGUUGAAGUUCUUGUGGGUUCUGAAUUACGACAUGGAAUCAUUCGAUGGAUCGACAAUGUACCGGGAAGUAAUCCUGGAAAAAUUAUGGCAGCUAUCGAGUUUAAAGAUGAGCCUGACUUACAAAACACAGAUGAAGUAUACAAUGAGUUAAAACAUUUUAAUAUUAAAUUAAAUAGAGCAUGUUACGGAGAUUCUGAAACUUUUAUACAACCUAAUAUAACAUCUAAAGACGAUUCAUUAUUAAGAAUCAAUGAUGAUAAUUUAAGUCAAUCUGAAAAUUUGAUAGUUAAAGGUAUUGUAAAACCUAUAUGUGUCGAAGAUGGUCUUGAAAAUAUAUGUGGUAAAUAUCGUGGCAUUCAAGGCCAUCAUAAUUCAUGUUAUUUAGACGCUACAUUAUUCUGUAUGUUUGCUUUCACAAGUGUUUUUGAUAACUUGCUUUUCAGACCUCCAACUGAGAAAGACUGCGCACAAUAUGAACAAGUACAGCGAGUAUUACGAGAAGACAUCGUAAAUCCUCUACGAAAGAAUGUUUUUGUACACGCGAAUAGUGUAAUGAAACUACGAACAUUACUUGAAAAAUUGUCAUCAGUAUCUGGUUUAACUAGUGAAGAAAAAGAUCCGGAAGAAUUUCUCACUUCACUAGUUGCUCAAAUAUUAAAUGCAGAGCCUUUUUUAAAGUUAAGCUCUGGUCAAGAUGCGUAUCAUUAUCAACUUUUUGUUGAAAAAGAUGAUCACUUAAACUUACCUACAGUCCAACAAUUACUCGAACAAAGCUUUUUAACGAGUAAUAUUAGACUAAAAGAGGUUCCAUCAUGCUUAAUAAUACAAAUGCCGCGUUUUGGAAAAUCAUAUAAAAUGUACUCAAAAAUUCAGCCUACACUUUUACUUGAUGUCACGGAUAUUAUCGAAGAUUGUAGACUCCAAGACAAUGUACAAUCUGUGGAAAGUUAGCUGAAUAUGAAUGCAAAGAAUGCUAUGGUCAACGGGGAUUAGGUUUAGAAAGUAUUGCAUUUUGUACUUCUUGUUUAGAUCAAGUACAUCGACAUGAAAGAAGAACAAAUCAUGCAUCUACAAAAUUGAACGUACCCACUGAAUUUAAA
RNAcentral lists this unclassified non-coding RNA (2374 nucleotides) under Cotesia glomerata. RNAcentral describes it as "ubiquitin carboxyl-terminal hydrolase CYLD, transcript variant X1". Lineage: Eukaryota; Metazoa; Arthropoda; Insecta; Hymenoptera; Braconidae. The record is from RNAcentral.